ACUGUGACUGCGGAUUUGGAAGGCUGAGAGUCCUGGGGAGACAUGCUCCGUGGAGACGAAUUUGUUUCUUCCUUUGCAAGAUUCAGAUUCUGCACUUGGGGGCCCAUACAACACACUUCCCUGGGUGCAUGCCACUGCACCACCCCUGCUCCUCAAGGCAGGUAAUGGGGGAACUAAUUGGUUUUGUUUCCCAUGAGCUAAGGCAAGGCUGGUGUGGAGAUAGCAGUUAUAGGGAAGCAUAUUAAAGAAUAGCCAAAACGGGACCAGGCGCGGUGGCUCACGCCUGUAAUCCCAGCAAUAUGGGAGGCCGAGGUGGGUGGAUCACCUGAGGUCAGGAGUUCGAGACCAGCCUGGCCAACCUGGUGAAGCCCCGUCUGUACUGAAAAAUUAGCUGGGCGUGAUGGCGGGCGCCUGUAAGUCCCAGCUACUCGGGAGGCUGAGGCAGGAGAAUCGCUUGAACCCGGAAGGCGGAGGUUGCAGUGGGUCGAGAUCGUGCCACUGCACUCCCGCCUGGGUGACGAAGUGAGACUCCGUCUCAAAAAAAACUCUAUAAAGUAAAAGUUACUGUAAAGAAGGAGAUAUACUCUCAGUAGGUGAAGGAAAAAGAACUAGAGCUUUAAAGUGGUAAUUAACCAUCAGAAGAAUCACAGAUGGGGGAGGUGAGGAUGACACAGGGCCCUUCCGUUGUCCCUCCAGUGCAAAAGUUAAGGAGGCACCAGAAAACUGGUUUCCAACUCCCGACCUCAGGUGAUCCUACCGCCUCGGCCUCCCGAAGUGCUGGGAUUACAGGCAUGAGCCACCGCGCCCGGCCCCAUCGUGACAUUUUUGCAUUCAUUUUGAUGCAACAAGAGUUUGAGAAAAGCCUGAGCAACAAAGUGAGACCCCAUCUGACAAAAUAGUAUAAAAGGACGUUUUAAAAAAGGGCUAGGUAGGCAGCCCUGUCCAAUAGAACUUUCCCUAUCUGUGCUGCCCAAGUAAGGUAGCCACAAGCUUCAAGUAGCUAUUGAGCACUGGAAAUGUGGCCAGCAGCCAGGCGUGGUGGCAGGCGCCUGUGUCCCAGCUACUCAGGAUCUGAGGCAAAAAGAUCGCUUGAGCCCAGGAAUUCAAGGCCGCAGUGGUGGACUCAAUAAAAGAAAAAAAAUGGAAAUUAAAAAAAAAAAAGUGGCCAGUGGACUGAGGAAGUGAAGUUUUAAUUGUAAUUAAAUUAAUUUUUUAAAAAUUUAUUUUUUGAGGCGGGGUUUCACUGUGUCGCCCAGGCUGGAGUGCAGUGGCAGGAUCUUGGCUCACUGCAAUCUCCAUCUCCUGGGUUUAAGCAAUUCUUGUGCCUCAGCUUCCUGAGUAGCUAGGACUACGGGCAUGCACCACCACAGUCAGCCACUUUUUGUAUUAUUCGUAGAGAUGAGUUUCACCAUGUUAGCCAGGCUGGUCUCAAACUCCUGACCUCAGGUGAUCUGCCCACCUCGGCCUCCCAAAGUGCUAGGAUUACAGGCAUGUGCCACUGCGCCUGGCUUUAAUUAAAUUUAGAUAGCCACAUGUCACUAGUGUUUGGAAAGACCUGAGCUGGUUCAGAUCGAGGCCGCAGUGUGCUGGCUAUUCUAUCUCUCACUCUUCUAGUGAGAUUGUUUUCUCAAUCACCAGUCUCCCUGACCCAUCCAGAGGUGGGGCUCAAAGCCACAAAGCUCAAGUGUCGUGUUCGGUCGUUGGUUUCCAGCAUGGCCAGUUCCCAUCCUCAGUCAUCUUGUUAACAUGAACUAUAUAGGGGCCCAUCCCAAGUCAUCUCAUUAGCAUAAACCAUCAGGAGUGGUCUGAGAAGCCCACAAUGAAUAAGAUGGACACUCCUAUCAUUUGGGAUUUAGGGGCUCAGGGGCAUGAUGAUAGUUCACUGCAGCCUCGACCUUCUGGAGUCAAGCAAUCCUCCUGCCCCAGCCUCCUGAGUAGCUGAGAUGACAGGUGCAUGCCACCGUGCCUGGCUAAUUUUUUUUUAUUUUUUUGGUAGAGAUAGGGUCUCACUAUGUUGCCCAAGCUGGUCUCAAACUCCUGGGCUCAUGUGAUCCUCCCGCUUUGAUCUCCCAAAGUGCUGGAGUUACAGGUAUGUGCCACCACUCCUGGCCAAAUUUGUUACUACACAGUGGUAAAGACAGACAUUUGAGGUGGCAGUGAACCAAGAUCAUGCCACUGCACUCCAGCCUGGGCAACAGAGGGAGAUCCUGUCUCAAAAGAAAAAAAGAAACUUACUGGCCGGGCACAGUGGCUCAGGCCUGUAAUCCCAGCACUUUGGGAGACUGAAGCGGGUGGAUCACUUGAGCUCAGGAAUUGGAGACCAGCCUGGCCAAUGUGGUGAAACCCCGUCUCCACUAAAAAUACAAAAACAUGAGCUGGGUGUGGUGGUGGGCGCCUCCAGUCCCAGCUACUCGGGAGGCUGAGGCACGAGAAUCGCUUGAAUUCAGGAGGCAGAGGUUGCAGUGAGCUGAGAUUGUGCCACUGCACUCCAGCCUGGGCAACAAGAGCGAGACUCCAUCUCAAGAAAAAAAGAAAAAGAAAAAGCUGCUGUGGAGCAUGGGCGAGCACUGCUGCCUGGACAAAGACCGAGGGUCCUCGGGAGGGCAGUACUGAUGUACAGGUUUCCAGCAGGUCGGCGUGUGUGUUCUCUCCUGCAGGUCUGCAGCCAGGCGUGCCAGGAGAGGGGGAGUCUGAGGGAUUGAUGUAGGUUGGGAAAGCAUGAUGAGAGGAGACAGAGUGGGGGCUGUGAAGAAGAGAGCGACUUGAUGGUGGCGGUAGUUACACAGAUGUAUGUAUUUAUUAAAAUCCGCUGAAAAGUACAUUUUAAAUACAAGCAUUUUAUUGUAUGCAUGUUAUUCCUCAACAAAGUCCAUUUUUAAAAAGUAGAGUGGUUGGAGUGAUGACGAACAUUAUGAAAGGGCUUAUUGGCAGAGAAAAAGUAGAGGGGUCCAGAGACUCAAGUUCCUAACGAGGCUGAAGUAAGAGUGGGGGAUUAAAUAAGGGCAAAAACUGAGAGAAUAAAAAAAGUGGGUUGUUUGGGGCCAGGUGCGGUGGCUUAUACCUGUAAUCCCAGCACUUUGGGAGGCCAAGGCAGGGGGAUCGCUUGAGCCCAGGAGUUCAAGACCAGCCUGGGCAACAUAGUGAGACCCCCCCGCAACCCCCCCCACCUCUGCCAUCUCUAAAAAAAUUAAAAAUUAGCUAGGUGUGGUGGUGUGCACCUGUGGAUCCAGCUACUAAGGAGGCUGAGAUGGGUGGAUCAUCUGAGCCUGGGAAGUCGACGCUAUAGUGAGCUGUGACUGUACCACUGCACUCCAACCUAGGCAGCACAGUGACACCCUAUCUAAAAACAAAAAGAAAAAACAAAAACCCAAGUGGGUUGAUUGGGAAACACAGGAGAUAGAAGUUAAAAUCAUGGGGAAACAUCAGUCAAAUCACAGUGUGGGACAUUCUACAGGACAACCAACCUGGUUUAUCCCAUAAUUCAGUGCUAUAAGAAAAAUGAAGGAGUGUAUAUUGAUCAGGAUUUUCCAGAGAAACAGAACCAAUUGAAUUUCUAUAAAUAUAUAAAAAGCAAUAUAUUGCUGGGUGCAGGGCUCACACCUUGUGAUGGUUAAUAAUGAGUGUCAACUUGAUUGGAUUGAAGGAUGCAAAGUAUUGAUCCUGGGUGUGUCUGUGAGGGCGUUACCAAAGGAGGUGAACAUUUGAGUCAGUGGGACUGGGAAGGGCGGACCCAUCCUCAAUCUGGGUGGGCACCAACUAAUCAGCUGCCAGUGCGGCCAGAAUAUAAAGCAGGCAGAAAAACGUGAAAAGACUAGACUAGGCCUGGUGCCGUGGCUCACGCCUGUAAUCCCAGCACUUUGGGAGGCCGAGACGGGUGGAUCACUUGAAGUCAGGAGUUCAAGACCAGCCUGGCCAAUAUGGCAAAACUCAUCUCUGCUAAAAAUACAAAAAAAUUUAGCUGGGUGUUGUGGUGCAUGCCUAUAAUGCCAGCUACUCAGGAGGCUGAGGCAGGAGAAUAGCUUGAACCCAGGAAGCAGAGGUUGCGGUGAGCCGAGAUCACACCGCUGUACUCCAACCUGGGUGACAGAGACUCACCUCACCAAAAAAAAAAAAAAAAAUAAGUGGGGCUAGACUGGCCUAGCCUCCCAGUCUACAUCUUUCUUCUGUGCUGGAUGUUUCCUGCCCUCCAACAUCAGACUCCAAGUUCUUCAGCUUUGGGACUCGGACUGGCUUCCUUGCUCCUCAGCUUACAGAUGGCCUAUUGUGGGGCCUUGUGAUUGUGUGAGUUAAUACUACAUAUGUCUAUCUUAUUACUUCUGUCCCUCUACAGAAACCUGACUAAUACACACCUGUAAUCCCAGCACUUUGGGAGGGCAAGGCAGGCGGAUCCCUUGAGGCCAGAAAUUUGAGACCAGCCUGGGCAACACAGCAAGACCCCAUCUCUACAAAACAUAAUUUUAAAUAAAAUUAGGCCCGUGUGG
Molecule: long non-coding RNA, 4481 nt
Filed under: Homo sapiens (human)
Lineage: Eukaryota; Metazoa; Chordata; Mammalia; Primates; Hominidae
Description: HSALNT0386712
Source: RNAcentral